RNAcentral lists this small RNA (175 nucleotides) under Mycobacterium tuberculosis. RNAcentral's name for it is "ydaO/yuaA leader". It matches the Rfam family "c-di-AMP riboswitch aptamer (ydaO/yuaA leader)", at positions 21 to 134 of the family's 134-position model. Rfam says of the family: This family represents a conserved RNA structure found upstream of the ydaO and yuaA genes in Bacillus subtilis and related genes in other bacteria. The ydaO/yuaA element is thought to act as a genetic "off" switch for the ydaO and yuaA genes in its native state. It is believed that the element may be triggered during osmotic shock leading to activation of ydaO, a predicted amino acid transporter gene, and members of the yuaA-yubG operon which code for KtrA and KtrB K+ transporters. Lineage: Bacteria; Bacillati; Actinomycetota; Actinomycetes; Mycobacteriales; Mycobacteriaceae. The record is from RNAcentral.
GCGGAUGGAGGCGGGGGACCCACCAGGUCCGCCGAGAUCGGACCCGAGCCGCAUACGGCUCCUUGGGGUGAAGCCAACGUCGUUCGCCGAUGUACGACCGCGGCCGGGUGAUCCUCUCCACGGCGAAUCCAACCCGAACCCGACAGCUGACCUCGUAGGCGUGUACCGAGAGGAA